RNAcentral lists this ribosomal RNA (253 nucleotides) under uncultured bacterium. Its description in RNAcentral is "partial 16S ribosomal RNA". It matches the Rfam family "Bacterial small subunit ribosomal RNA", at positions 524 to 776 of the family's 1533-position model. The record is from RNAcentral.
UACGGAGGGUGCAAGCGUUGUUCGGAAUUACUGGGCGUAAAGGGCGUGUAGGCGGCUUGGCAAGUCAGAUGUGAAAGCCCUGGGCUUAACCCAGGAAGUGCAUUUGAAACUGCCAGGCUAGAGUAUGGGAGAGGGGAGUGGAAUUCCCAGUGUAGAGGUGAAAUUCGUAGAUAUUGGGAGGAACACCAGUGGCGAAGGCGGCCACCUGGACGGUGACUGACGCUGAGACGCGAAAGCGUGGGGAGCAAACAGG